ACCUAUGCGAAUAUGGUUACUGUAUAAUUCAUCCCUUUUGACCCCUGUGUUUAGGACGACUCAGGAUUAAACUGUCAACCCUGAUUAGAUCAUCCGAAUCAUGCUCAACUCAAAUAGUCCUGUGACUCCUCACUAGGACUACCCUGGCCAAGAUUUUACUAAAUUAAAAUAUGACUGUACACAGCUCCUAAACUGGAGUGGUCAAUCCCAUCUUGACACACGCACCGACAAGUCAAGUACUUGACUACACCCAGCAACCUUCCGUCAUUGAAUUAGAAAUUCAGGUAGUCCAGUGCCUAAGUGCAGUGAGUUACUUGCAAGUCACCGUGGCAGUCUC
Molecule: long non-coding RNA, 337 nt
Filed under: Elaeis guineensis (African oil palm)
Lineage: Eukaryota; Viridiplantae; Streptophyta; Magnoliopsida; Arecales; Arecaceae
Description: long non-coding RNA (EGUI_LNC078190)
Source: RNAcentral